GGAGAUUUGAAAUAAUCCAAAAUAAAGAAAAAGGAAAACCCCAAUAUGUACAAAUUUCAGAAUCUAAAACUUGAAAAGUGAUUGAAUGAUGAGAUAUGUUUGUACAAUCAAUUAUAGAGACAGUGAAAUAUUAAAAAAAAAAUGAAACGUACCAAGAUAAAAAGAAUAGCAACUAGUAUUAUGACCUUUGUAUGUCUUCAAAAUACAAACAUCAAAAUGAAUCAAGAGAUCUACCACACAAAUAAUGGUAUCAACACAAAUAAAGCAAUUGUUUUAUUAACAAUAUUUGAGUACAAUUAAACUAAGCAUGCUACUGUCCUUGACAAAUUUACAUAGUUCAUUCAAUUAACUUUCUAUUAAAUAAUUGAAACAAAUGGAAAGAGGACAAUUGAAUAUUAAAUAAAGAUGGAAUUAAAUGGGAACUCACCGCUGGAGUAAUGCGAUUUGUUCGGUGGCUCACUGCUGGAGUUGGAAGAGAGACAAGGAUUAGAAAGGAAAGGAAGAGGAGCGUCUGAUAAUCCAACGGAUUCUUUGAUGAGUGGAGUAGUAGUAGUAGUAGUGGAGGUUCCAAGGACAUUGAAGUCAAUCCAGAGAGUGAGGGAAUCCAGAAGGUUGAGGUUGAAGAGAGUAGAAAUUGCAACCAAAAUCGGUGAGGAUGGUGGAAUCGAAAUUGCGAGGGAAGAAGAAAAGAGCAUCACAGGUCGAAGUAGAGGAGGAAUCAACACUGGUUAAACUGGUUUUGGUUGUACGAACAAAGAAGAAUUAGGGUUUGAGAAGAGAAAGGGAAAAUGGAGUGUACGAACAAAGAAGAAGAAGAUGGAGAUUGGAUGCGCGACUAAGAGAAGAAGAUGGAGAUUGGAUGCGCGACUAAGAGAAGAAGAUGGAGAUUGGAUUCGCGACUAAGAGAAGAAGAUGGAGAUUGGAUGCGCGACUAAGAGAAGAAGAUGGAGAUUGGAUCCGCGACUAAGAGAAGAAGAUGGAGAUUGGAUGCGCGACUAAGAGAAGAAGAUGGAGAUUGGAUCCGUGACUAAGAGAAGAAGAUGGAGAUGGAUCAGCAAAAUGGGUAUGAUAGGGUUUCUUCCUUACAGAAACGGAAAUUGAGAGAUAGGCCAAAGAAGACAAGAGAGCAAGAGAGAAGGGGGGAGGAGAGGGAGACUUGGCCGUUAGAGAAGAGGGGAAAGAAAUUUUAAAUGAGAGAGACUGUACAUGUAGGGUUUUUGUUAUAAUUUUUUUUUUUUUUUUGAAAUUUUGCUUAAUUGGAUCUAGAGAAUUUUGUGUAUCCGGUUCACCGACUCAUAUUAGCGGUCCAUUCGUCCAUUGUUUUGUCAUUUUUUUCAACAAACUAAAUGUUUUAAGCCAUUUGCAAAUUAGAUUUUGAUAAAUCGAUAAUCAUAUUUUUUUACAAUAUAGGACUAAAAAAUAUAACUAAUUUAUAUAUAUAUAUAUAUUAUACAUACAACAGUAUUUAGUUAAGUUACAAAAAAAAAAAAAAAAAUCUUUUGAAUUUUGUAGUUUGUGUAAAAAAUUAACCUUAAACUUUGAAAAGUUAAAAAAAAUUGUUUUGAACUUUUUAAAAUUAUUCAUAAAUACAUCUACAUACGUAAGAUGAAGGUAUUGGCAUGCUUCUCUAAAACAAAACUUUCCAAAAAGACGUCGUGUGACUUUUGAAAAGAAAAAUUACAGAUGCGGUCGUUUUUAAACAAACUAGAUAUAUCAAGUUAUAUUUUUUUUUUUUUUGAGGUGAGGGAAUCAACCUUUCUUCUUCUUUUUAAUCCCUUUUACUUUUAGUUUAUUUCUUUAUUUUUUUUCCUUUUUUCACAAUUUUGUCAUAUUCGUAAUAUGCACAAAUUAGUCUUUUUCUUUUAAUGUUUUAAUUUCUUUAUAUUAUUCGUACUUCUCAACCAAAUUUAUUUUAAUUUUAAAAAUCCUAAUUUUAGAACUAGAGUCGGUUUCGAAUACAUCAUUUAAAAAUGAGUCAUUUUGACAAAGUUAUACUAACUCAACUCCAAGUUAAACUAACUCAACCCCAAGUUAGUUUAACAACUCUUGUAAUCUCCAGCCUAUAAAAAAGCUUCUCAUUUUCAUUAAUAAGACAUAAAAAAAGAGAGGCAUUAUACAUAAAUAUUUCUAGCUUUGCAAUUACUUCAUCAAUUGGUAUCAGAGCGUGAUCCUAGCUCACUCUUCCCUAAAAAAACUUGGAUCCUACCACUCUUAUCCAUGGAUGCGGAAGCCUCCUUCAACCAACGCUUGCAGUUGGUAGAACAAGCUAUUGAAGAACUUCGAAAAGAGCAGUCGGAUAUACAGCAAUGGUUAGUAGAAUUAACAAACCUUUUUACCCGAUUUCAUGUCCAACCUUUAGAAGAAGAAAUUCAGCCCCCAAGAAACCCAAUUGCAGCAAACCAAGAAAGACAAGAAAGACCAAGAAACCUAAUUGCAGCAAACCAAGAAAGACAAGAAAGACCAAUAAACCCUGUUGUAAACCAAGAACUACUAAGAAAUCAACCUAUUCACAUCCACAAUAAUCGAUUGUAUGGAAACAAAGUACUUGGAAAUUUCUUAAACGAUUCUAACUCUUCCGAUGAAGACAACUUGCUGAACAUUCAUCAAGAACCUCAACAAAGGCUUGGACUUCGACCAUACUUUCAAGAAGAUCAAGAAAUACUUAUGCAAGUGACCUUCAAUGGUCGAAUGGACGUGGAGAAGUUUCUUGAUUGGAUCAAGAACGUAGAAAAUAUUUUCGACUAUGCUAAUACACCUGAACAAAAGAAGGUUAGAUUAGUUGCUCUCAAACUUCAAGGUGGCGCAAGCGCUUGGUGGGAUCAAUUACAAAAUAAUAGACGAUUAUUCGGUAAACAAUCUAAAGAUUAGCUGAAUAUCUUAUAAAAAGAUGUUGCCGUAGGCUUAGUGGUGACAGGUGAGAAAGUAAGUUGUGUCUUUUAUGACUCUUAAAAAGAUGUUGUCGUAGGCUUAGAGUUGAAUUUAACACAGUUAAUCAGCUUAAGCAUUUGACUCUGGUGUUCUUAAGAUAUAAAUUCAAAUCCCUAUAACUUUAUCAUGUUGAUCUUUUCAAUCUUCUCACAUACCGUCUUCAUUUCAUAAUCUUGCCUACUAGCUGCGUAUCAUCAAUGAAAUUACCAUAGGAGUCCACAUGUGGUAAUUAUGGAUCUAGCACGAUAUACUGCGUAUCAUGUUGUUGUAGAUCAUUUUAAAUGAUUAACUAGUCUAUUGGUGGUUUGAGUCUUUCCUUUUGAAUCUUUAGGUUGUUCAAUGGUCUAAUAUUAACUGUGUUUAGAUUUAUGGUAAUUUUCAUUCUUUUACAGCCUUAAUAACAAAGAAAAGAUGUGCUUUGAUAAUCUUUUCUUUCUCUUCGGCAGGUUGGUAAUGUAGAAAGGAUACAUGUAUACUAUGCCCAUGGACUAGAUUGCCCAACCUUUGUUCGCCGGUGUUAUUGGCUCCUAGAUAAGUAUGUUAUGGUUGAAAGAAAAUUGUUAAAUUGCUUGCUACCAGUUGUUUCAGUGGGGUCUAUCCCCAUCAUCCCACAAGCAAAGAAAAAUGAAAUUAGACAGUGGCAGUAUAUCGUGUUCUACUUAUAUAAUUUAUGACUUGCUUCUGCUUUUUGUUCAGGACCUUUGAACACAUUGUCCUUGUUCAUUACCGUGAAACACAAGAGGUAAGGUUCAGCACAAUGCAUCUGCAGUUACUGAAAUAUUAUCUUGAGACAAACUUUUAUCAUUUGGACUACUACAUCUAUUUAAGAUUUGCUGAUUUUUCCUCCAUGGUUGCAAUAUUAGAACUUCAUCCAAAAUAAUGUUGUCAUGUGUGUCUUUAAAUUUUUACUGGCAGUCUGGCACCAUAUAGAUCUAGUAGUUGUGCAUGCAUGUCUUCCUCUCUAUCCUCCAUUGGCAAUCUGGCACCAUAAUUAUCUGUUUGUGUUUUAGUUUGAUGAUUCAAUCCAACAUUUAUUAUGGAUAAAGUCAGCCAUAAAAUACAUAUGUUUACUACUGCUCUUUGUACAUUUUAAAUACUAGAUUUCUUGAUGAUUGUUGUCUUUAAGUUGCUCUUAAUGUUGUUGCAUAUCGAGAAAUGCACUGUAAUUUCUGUAUCGAUUUUAUCACCGCUUUUAACUAAAUCUUCAAAAAUCAAGGCACCACCUGGAUGUAGAGUGUUAUAUGGUGAUUCAAGUGUUGAGUGUUCUCUUUCUUCUGCUAUCCAUAAAUUUAUGGAAUGGAAAGGCAAUGAUCAUGACACUAUUUUUUGUCAGAUAAACACUGGUUUCAUAUGCUUCAACUCUGUGGUGCUUCACAGCACACGGAUAAAACUUCCAAACAUUCUGCACCCAAUAUUACCAUAAUGCAUUUGGACACUUCAUUAACAACUUCUUACAAUUAGCCUUUCUAUAUUGAAAAUAAUUCGUUGUCUUAACUUCCUGUUGCUGCUAGUUUCAGAAUUUUCCAUCCACAUCGUUGACCUCAAAUUCUGGUUCUGUCUCUAACCCAUCAACUCUGUGGCUUUUAUCGGAGGAACUUGAUUCCAAGGCUACUCAUGUUUAUUCUCUUGGUGAAAAUGAAUUGUCAGGUGAUACUGGUUGAACCUAUCAAAAAUAAAUGAGUCAUAGUUUGUUUGAUCAUUCAUUUUCUAAUCUUUCUUCUUUAUAUUUAAUUAGUUGUUUAAUUUCUUAAAAAAGAAUUCUGGUUUAUUUAUCGUAUAUUUGGUAGUAUGCAUGCCUCAGCUCCUUUAAUGCAUGUCUCUCACAGUAUAUUUGGUAGUCUUUUAUAAUGUUACACCCUUUUUUUUAAUUCCUAAAACCUUUUAACUUUCCAAAUUUUCAUUCAUUCUUUUAGAAAAUUAUUUUCAUUAUUUUUUUAUGGUUACAAAACCAUCCAUUAACUACAUUAAUUAGACAAUUCACUCCAAUAAUAAAUAAAUAACUUUUUUGGAUCUAAGGUAUUUUCUCAUUCUACAAAUUUAAUUUACUAUAUAAAGGUUAUUAUGCUAAUUGAAAAAUAUAUUUCUCUCAAGUAUGCAAUGACAGAAAAUUAGGUUAUAAAUAUAAAAAAAUAAUAUUUUUAGGUAUUAUAAUUUUUUUAAAAAAAAUUAUAUUUUAAAUUUUUAAUAAAACCUUGCAUUUGGGGAUUCACAUGUUGUUACUAGUCGAACCAAAAAAGAUAAAUUCGCGGUGAAAACUCUUUAAAACCCAAUUCGUGGAAGGAAAAAUUGAACUGUGGCGUUGAGUUAUUUUGUUGUUGAAGAAGAUCAGUAAAAAACCCACAACAUUAAAACUUCUUUUUGUUUCUUUAAGUAUAUUUUAGAUUGCAGCGUAUUUUCUAUUUGGGUUUAGUUAGGGUUUCUCUUGUUUAUUCCAAGAUAUGCAUGGAUAGUUCAUGUUCGACUAUUUGGAAAGAGGGCUUUAUGUAGCACGGGUAUUAUAUUCUGGUUUUGGAAGUGUCGAGAUAAAUUAAGGACUUUUUUAAUCUUCUUGAAACAAACCUAUACGAAGGUGAAGAAUAAUUUAUGCUUGUAUUUUAGUCGGAAUAAGAAGAAACAUGAAGAGAAUGCCCACGAGGAAAAUGACCACGAGAAAAAGUUGUGUAUUCCUCCAUCCUUAACUGAGCUCUCUAAUGUGUAUUCCUCCCUCCAUAACUGGCUUACUUUGGAUUGUUUGGUAGAAAGAAACAAUAGAAUUUUUAAGGAUAAAUCAAGGUUUAUUGUUAACUUAUGGGAAGACAUAUGUAACUUGAUCGGAGUUUGGUCUAGGCGUCAUUCAUCUUGUAACCAAUAUGAUGUUACUACCAACUCUUAACUUUAAGCUUUGUUAGAUUAGGUUGCUUCGGGCUUCCCUCUAGCCUUCAACCUUGUAACUUUAACUCUAUGUUAAUAGAUAAUGACUCUUAUCCUAGGUUUAUCCUAGUUUGAAGGAUUCGGUUUCUUCUUCUUAAAAAAAGUUGUAUUUCGACAACUAUUUGGGAGGAAAAUGUGCUUAACUAACUAAAAAUCUAAUGACACUUCCAAAACCAGUCAUUUCGAAAGAUGUUUCCUCAAUAAUAUAUUUAUAGUGCUCUUCCUUUAUAGAGUAAAACAGUAAAGCAACAAAACCACUUUGAUUCAUUAUAUAUAUAUAUUUACGUAUGUCAUUACUACAAAAAAGGCCUUUCUUGACGUUUGUUGUUUUUCUUUCUUGACAUUUUUUUCAAAAAAACGUCAAGAAAGGGGUAGUUCCAAAGAUAAAACGUCAAGAAUUUUUAUGAAAAGGCGGGGGUAGGUCAAUUUUCAGAUUUCUUGACGUUUAUUAAACAUCAACUAAUAUGUAUUUUUUCUUGACGUUUUAAAAAUGUCAAGAAAUAUCUAUAAAAAUUUUGACGUUUUUAAAACGUCAAGAAUGUUUAUAUAUUCAACAUUCUUCAAAAUUUUCAAACGUCAAGUAAUAUGUACUUUUACUUGACAUUUUCAAACCGUCAAGAAAUAUCUUAAAAAUUCUUUAUGUUUUAAAACGUCAAGAAUUUUUAUAAAAAGCCGGAGAAGAGUUAUACUUCAUUCCCCUAAAACUUCCAUUGGUUUCCAUAUUUCAAGAAUUUGAAAUUUUUAUAAGAUAUUGCUAGUGGAAAUUAAGUUAAUUCUGUUUGCUCCCAAACUACCUCCUGAUUAUGCUGUCUGGUUGGGAGAAAUAAAGUCUUUGUCAUAUUUCAAGGUAGUGUAUGUUAACCAACACUUAGUGCAUUUUCGUGUUCAUGAGCUUAUUUUAGUUAAUAUGUUUUUGUAGGAAAAAUAUGAUGUCAAUAUGGCAUAUUAUACGAUGAAAUUGUAGUCGUUUAACACAAAAUUUUGAGGUUCUUUUUCAACUAAUUAUGCUUUAUCUAAUAUAUUUUUCCAAAUCUUAAAGAAGAACUUUUGAUUUCAUUGGAGUUUAUCAUUAGAGGCAUUACUAUAUUGGCUGCCUCUCAGUGGGCUAUAGGUUUUCCAAUGGUCAUUUGAGACUGGUUGAUAAUAGCAAAAGUUAGAGCUUGAGAAGAAGGAGCGAAGAAAGUAGUGAAGACAAAAGAAGAAAGAAAGCUGAGUGAAAAACGAAAAUUGACAAGGUAGAGAUGUGACAUGAAAAUGAUGAUGAGAAGUGAAGGAGGCAUGACACAAUACUUGUACACAAUAACAAAGCCUUGAUAAUUAAAAAAAGGAUGGUGCCAAGAAAAUUUAAAUACAAAAAAAAUGAAGGUUCUUGCAAGUGUAUUGAUUGAAUGGGAGAAAGAAAGGAUAAAAAAGGUAGAAAGAGAGAAAGAGAAGUCAAGGGUAGAGAUACAUAGCUUUGUAUAUAGAAACUUUAUGUCUAUACUCCACUAUACGUUGUGGAGAAUAUAACAUCCUGAUAUGUUUGAUUCAAUUUGAAUGAUGCAAUUAUUUAUUUUUCUGCAAUAAUUCUACUUCUAGAACCUAAAUUUUGAAAGCCUACUAAUUUUUCAGAAUUAAUUCGAGACCCCACUUUUGCUCCCCUUCCUACCUACGGUUACUUUUUGCUUAAACUUUAAAAGUUGUUUGAAAAUAUUUGCUGAAACUUGUAAAACUUGUAAACUUGUAAAAUAAUUGCAAAAUUGUGCAAUUAGUUUAUUGUUACGGAGAUUUCAAUAGUAAAAAGCAAAGAGAGUAAAUGGUAACAAAAUCAUAUUGUUCACAUGAAAUGAUAAAAUAAUCAUUACACAUUUACAAGAACAGUAAAUAAAUUAUGUGAUUUUCGUGAGAAAAAUGAAGAAGAAAUAGCUUAUAACAAAAGUGAAUAUAAAUUAAAGGAGAAUAUAAAAUUGUUUAAAAUAUUUAUUUUCAAUAAUUCGGAAGUUCUUUGACUAUAUAUAAUGGAAGAGAGCCUUUCCAAGGUGUGAUGUCUGGCGUCAACAACGACGCGCUUAGCACAGAUACGGAACCGAACACCAUCUUCUUGGUGUUUGUCUAUGCAAAAGCCUCGAGUGGCUAUGGUCUUCUUCUUCUCUGUGAGGGAAAUAGAUGAAGUUUCUAGACUAUUUCAAUUACUAUGUGAGAGGUGGCUGAAUUUUAUUGGACCUCUCUUCUUGGGCUUACUUUUUACAAUUGUUUAACAAUCUCUCUCCGAAUAUACCUUCGUCCCCUUAGCUGCUUCCCACUUUGGUAAAAUCGCCAAAGCUUUAUGCGUAAAUUGCAAGAGACCUGAGCAAGGCAAAAUAAGGUUAUUGGAACAAGGCGAAAGUUAUCAUUGCUAGCUGCAACUUUCCUCAUUCUUCUCACCCUCCUUCAAACCAUAUUUUCUGCUAAUGUAUGCAUUUCCUAGCUAGCCUUCCCCGGCAUAUUCUAUUUUAGCUUUUUUCCUCUCCAGUUUCUGUUAUGUAUUUUUACUGAAUAUUGAUCUCCUUUUUGCUAUCAAGAUAGUAUACCAUACAUGCAUGUGUAGGACUUUUAUCCCUUAUAUUUUAUAAUUUUUCUUACUACUGUUAUUGACUGAUAUACCAAUAUACAUGUGUAAAGUAUUGAUCAUAUAAUUAAUAUUAAAUUUAUUACAUUCACUCAUCAAUUUAAGUUUUUUAGUCAUGUAUGUUCAUGAUUUAAAACAAAUAAUUCGAAGCUUUCAUCCCACUUGUGAACAACGACCGAAAAAAAACCUUACUUCAUCCCACAUCGUCGCUGUCUUUCUCUCGCAAAUGCUCUCUGGCGACGUUCCCCCCUCUCUAGCAAAUACCCUUCACGACUUUUCCUCUCUCUCAAAAUUAAGCUCUUCGCCCACCGUUUGAAGGAACUCACCAAAUUUGCAAGUAAUUGAAGAAUUUGUGGUCAAUGAGAUCGAUUAAGUCCAUUUAUGUGUUAGUUUGAUUAGAUUAUGUCACAUAUACAUGUAUUACAAUUAAGGGACACUUGCGAAAAUGGCAAAAUAAGUUAUAAUAAUUAAGUCCAUAGAACACAUACUUUAUUAUUUGAGAAAGUGACAAAAACAAAGACCAGCUCACACAUCAAGAGGUAAAAUGUCACAAAUGCCUUCGUUAUUGAUGUACAUUUGAUACACCUUAUACACGUCUGAUACACCUAAUACCCCUUGAUACACUUGAUACUUUUUACUCAUACACUUGAUACAUUUGAUAGAUACAAUUCAUGCACUCGGUACUCAUUGAUACACUCGAUACUUUUUGAUACACACCUGAAACAUCUUCAUACACAUAAUACUUCUCGUUCCACAUAAUACUUCUCGUUACACUUGAUUCUUCUUGAUACACUUGAUACCCCUGAGGCCUUGAUACACUUGAUUAGUUUGAUACACUUAAAGACUUCACUUAUAAGUUUGAUCCACUUGUUACACCACUAAUAAACUUGUUAUACUUCAUUGGUACACUUAACAAAUUUGAUAUGUUUGAUGUACAUGCACUACAAGAAAUUUACCAUUUGUCGAUGACAAAUAUCAUCAGUAAAUCUUCAAAAACUAAUCGACUUUUCUUUUGCCAACGAAAUUAAGCUGUCAACACACACAGUCACAUAGGUCUGUGGGAAGAUCCUCUAUUGAUGGCAAAAAAUAAACUGUCAGCAAAAAUAGGAACUAUUGAUGAAAUUGAACCAUCAGUGUGCGUGUGUGUGUGCGCUCGCGUGUGCGCAUGUCCACGUGUGCUUGGGUGUGUGUAUGCACACAUACAUGUGUACGUGAGUAGGUGUGUGCGUGUUUGCGUGUGCAUUUGUGUGCGUGUGGUUUGGUGUGUGUGUGCAUGUGUGCGUUUGUGUGUGUGUGCGUACGUUCGUGUGUGUGUGCUUGUGUGCACGCGUGUGUGUGUGCGUGUAUGGGUGCACGCGCGUGCAAGUGUAUGUAUGUGUGUGCACGUGUGAUUGUGUGUGAAUAAGUUGAUAUUUUUUAAUGUUGAGUUUCUCCCAAUUUUAAAACAAUAAUUUAAUUAUCUUGAUAUUCAAGCCAUUAAUAUUAUUGUGAGAUAAAGAUAGUGAAUAAGUUGAUAUUUUUUAAUUUUGAAAUUCAAUUAAAGUUAUUUUGAUACAAAAUCUAUUGCUUGAGAUUAUCAAAUUCUGAAAAAUAAUAAUUUUGUUAUUUUGAAAUUAAAUUUGGUUAUUUUGAAAUUCAAAUUUAAUUAGGUUAUUUUGAAAUUAGUAAGAUUAAAUAAAGUUAAAGUCUUGAAUCCAUUAGUUGAGUCCCAAGAUAUUAAGAAAAAAGUAUGAUAUGAGUUUAUGUAUCUUUUUCAGGUAAAAAAUAAUUAAAAGCUGAUAAAUGCAUAAUAUAAAUUAAUUACAACAUAGAAACAAAAUAAUUUUAGUUGGAGAGUGUGGAUAUUUUGGUAUUUUAUAAAAUAUUAUGCACGUGCAAAAAAUGUUAUUUGCUAAAAUUUUAAAAAAAUAGUUUUGCCAUUUUUCAAAAUGACCCAUAAAAAGGUUGCUAUAUCUCUUAUGAUAGAGUGUAUAUCUACUGGUUCAUAUUCGACCUGUUUGUUGCUAAUAGAAUUGGAUAAAAUCGCAUUAUAUUGAAAUAAUUACACAAAUGACACUUUUAAGCCAAUAUUGAUAGAAAUUAUAGUUUAAUUAAUGUUAUUAAGUCAAAUGAACAUGGUUUAAAAGUCCUUCUAAACACAAAUAAUGUAGUUGUUUUUUUAAUUUUAACUCAUUUAUACAUCUUUAUGCAUAUGUGCGUGUGUACGUGUGCGCGUGUAGGUAGGUGUGCGUAUGUGUAUGUGCCUGCGUUCGUGGCGAGUGUCCAUGUGCAUGUGUGUGUGGGUGUGUGCAUGUUUGUAUGUGUUUGUGCGUGUCGUGUGUGUGUGCGGGCUAUUGCGUGUGUGCUUGGGUGUGUGGGUGUGCUCGGCGUGCAUGUUUGUGCGCGUGUGCGUAUGUGUUUACGUGUGUGCGUUUGUGCAUGUGUGUGUGCUUGUGCGCGUUUGUGCGUGUGUGCGUUUGAAAUUAGUAUGAUUGAAUAAAGUUAUUAAUAUGUUGAAUUAAUUAGUUGAGUCUCGAGAUAUUAAGAAAAAUAUUAUGAUAUGAGUUGAUGUAUCUAUUUCAAGUAAAAGAUAAUUAAAAGCUGAUAAAUGCAUAACAUAAAUUAAUUACAAUGUAGAAACGAAAUAAUUACAGUUGAAGAAUGUUGAUAUUUUGGUAUUUUAUAAGAUACCAUGCACGUGCAAAAAAUGCUAGUUGCUAAAAUUCAAAGGAAAAAGUAGUUUUGUCAUUUUUCAAAAUGACCCCUAAAAACGUUGUUAUGUCUCUUAUGACAAAGAGUGUAGAUCUACUAAUCCAUAUUCGAUUUGUUUUUUGUUGGUAAAAUUGGAUAAGACCGCAUUAUAUUGAAAUAAUUACACGAAUGACACUUUUAAGCCAAUAUUGAUAGAAAUUAUAAUUUAAUCAUGUUAUUAAGUCCAAUGAACAUGGUUUAAAACUCUUUCUAAACACAAUUAUUGUAGUUAUUUUUUAAUUUUAAUUCAUUUAUACAUCUUUGUGCAUAUGUGCGUGUGUGCGUGCGUGUGCGCGUGUCCACGUGUGCAUGGGUGUGUGUGUCUACGUGUGCGUGGGAGUGAGUGUUCACGUGUGCGCGUUUGUGCGUGUGCGUGUGCGUGUGUGUGCGUAUACGCGUGUGUGCGUGUGUACCUGAGUGGGCGUGUGCGCUUUUCAUGCUUUUCUUCCAAUUUUAAAAUAAUAAUUUAAUUAUCUUGGUAUUCAAGUCAUUAAAAUUAUUUUGAGAUAAGGCUAUUUUAAUAUAAAAUUAUGGUUGAGAUUCUCAAAUUCUAAAAAAUAAUAAUUUUGAAAUUUUGAAAUUCAAUUUGGUUAUUUUCAAAUUCAAAUUCAAUUAGGUUAUUUUGAAAUUAGUAAGAUUGAAUAAUGUUAUUAAAAUGUUGAAUCAAUUAGUUGAGUCCCGAGAUUUUAAGAGAAAAGUUAUGAUAUGAGUUGAUGUAUCUAUUUCAAGUAAAAAUUAAUUAAAAGUUGAUAAAUACAUAACAUAAAUUAAUUAUAACGUAAAAACAAAAUAAUUAUAGUUGGAGAAGGUGAAUAUUUUGGUAUUUUAUAAAAUACCAUGCACGUGCAAAAAAUGUUUGCUAAAAUUGAAAAGAAAAAGUAGUUUUGCCAUUUUUCAAAUAUUUUGGUAUUUUGUGUCUGUAUUAUUUUAUAUUUUAUACAGGAGACUCCGUUUGAGUGUUGAGCUAGUAAUGGGAGGGAUUACCGUUGACCCCAAAAUUACAAGGUUUCAUGUUGCUUACUGGAUCAUUAAUGAUUCGUCUCUAUCUUGGGCUCAGCGAGUGGUGGAGUUGGAACCCCCUGAAAGUGUAGAUUUAGACUCUCUACCGUUGUCAAGAGCUGUUAAGUAUGCAAAAAUGGCCUUGAGAAAUCCUAUAAAUUCUCUGAACAGGAGACAUUCUAGUGUAAGAAGAAAUGCUCAAGUCCUUGAAGAAAUUGAGGACACAACUCCAAUUCCUAGCAUGCUUUCUCCUUGAGACUAUGCUGGUCCUAGUCGGGGAGUGGCAUUUACAUCCAAGAAAGACACACAUGUAUCACCUCGUGUUGGCACUUCCAUUGCAAUGCACAACUCUGACAUAUAUAGUGCCGACAUUUCCUUCCUUAAGCUUGAAAAAAGGUGAUUUGAUGUCCAUAAAAAAUUAACUGAGCAGUUAGAUAUUUUCUAAUACGUAUCUCACGUAAUUUGAUGCUCAUUGAUACUGCAUUACUGUGUCAGGAAUGUGUUGAUGUAAAAUCUUUCAGUUUUGAUGGAUCUUAUUACAAGCUUUCAACUCUUCUUAGCACGACUUCUGACAGAACAAAGGUUCGAUAUAUCUUUACACGAUCGCAUAUCACAUAUGAAAGAUCGCAUAUCCCAUCUGAAAUAUCGAUCACCCUUGGUAAAACAACCGUUUAGAUAUUCUACAUGAUUGUUUGCUUAAGGAUACACGAUCAUUUUGUAACUAUAUUUUUUAUUAUCCUUUUUUCUUUCUAUACUAGAAUCAGAAUCAAUUGUUUGAUGAUAUUAACAACAUGUAUGAUGAUCUUCAUGAUGAUUCUAGUCAUCACAAUCUGGACAAGAAUGAUGACCAUCAAAAUAACAAACAUGUGAUCAUCCAUGAGAAUUCAUCUGUUCAAGAGUCACAUCUUCAAGAAUCUACUGUAGAAACUCAACUGUUAGUGUUUAAUUCAUUAGCUACUACUUUAUAUUGUUUAAAAUUGCUUAGAUUAGAAAUAAACAACAAUAAUUUUUUUCUUUUAUGUGUAGGGAACAAAAAUGAACAACGCCUCAACAUCAAGAGCAGUCAGGCAGUGAUAUUAGCAUAUAUGGCAGAGAUGCACAUUUGAUAUUAGCUAUAAGUAAUAUAGCAGAAAAUAUGGAAGGCCAUACUCAAACAGAAAAGGGACUGCUAGAAAUGAUUGAAAAUCUUCCGUUGGUAAGCCAACCACUUCCACUUUGUGAGAUGCUACCAUUAACUACUGUCAAAGGUCUUGCAUUAGUUUUAAUUGGUAUGUGUGCCCUAAAGGGAUAAAAGCUCUUGGCAGUGAAAGACUUUACAAAACCAUUCAUCAAUUUUAAUUUGAAAAUUCCAAAAUACCAGUACAUUGACAAUAUUUAGAAUCAAAGUUCUAAAUAAAGAACUAAAUAUGCUUUUAAUUUAAAAAAUACAUAGAACUUACUCUUAUUGACGUCUCUGAAUCUAUAAUCUACCGAAUUGGGGACACCACUCGUUGGAGACAUUCCUAUCUUCGAAGAUGAGAUUGGUUUGUGGAAAACAAUUGGAAUGAAAAAAAAAAAAAUAGAGAGAAACUAUAUAACACCCCAAUAUCAAGGUAUUUCUCUCAAGCUAAUUUUUUUAAAUUUUAUUAAGAUUUUAAGGAAUUUGGUUGUGGUGUGGAUUUAGCAGGAAGUGAAGGGGGCUUUUAUGAAAAAAUAUACUAAUACUAAAGGUUAAAUAAUAAUAAUAUAUAAUAAUAAUAGAAUUAAUGUUAUUAUUAAUUUAAAAUAUCAAUUCUUUAUUGAUUCACGUGCAACCCCAUCUCUUUCUCCUUCACUCUUCCUCUUCCCCGUGCCCACUGUCGUCUGCCUCCCUUAGCCAUUUUAUAUUACUCUUGGACGUCAGCCGGCCACGCCGUCACCGAUCGCUUCGUCUCCGUUGAAGCCGAAGCACUGUUCGUCGUGAGUUCGAACUCUCAACAUCGUGUCUCACCUAUGUUUUCCAGCCAAGCUGUGAUUCAUUCGCGCGUAGCUCCUUCGACGUUCGCGCCACCACAUUCUGCUCCAGGUGAUGAGUAACAUCACCGAUUGACCUAUCAUCUCACUGGCGUUGUUACUUAGUUGAAGCAGUCGUCGACCAGACCUGAGCCCGUCGCGUCUGUUGAAGUGCCAUCGCGCGACUCUUCACCUUCCAGCCAUGGGUUGUAAGCUGAAGUUUGUUUUUCGUUUGUUGAUUUAGAUCUGAUCUAUUACACGCGUCGAUUCCAGUUAUUCGAAGUUGUUGCCCCCAUUUUACUCUAAUUUUUGGGAUUUUUGUGGUAAGUUGUAUUGGUGAGUGUGGUGGUUUUACAUUGUAAUUAUCCUUGGGUUGUAGUUUUGGAUAAUUAGUUCAAUUGUUAAUUGAUUCUUGAAGGUAGCAUUUGAGUUCUUUGGAUUCACAACUAAAUUGUAGAUUUGUUGGAGUUUGAUUCGCCAAUACUUUGGUAAGCUAGAAUUUACAUUGAGGAAAUUAAAUGAAAGAAAGUAUUGUGAAAGUAAUUGAGUUCCAUAUUCUUAUUAUUAGGUUUCCUUCGUUCGAGAAAUUUGAGUAACAUUAAAGUAAGGGGUUUCUAUUACUGGACUCUUUGAAAGUUUUGAAAUGUGUUGACUAUUUGGAUCUCUGGACUUAGUAUGGUUUACCAAUAUAUGUAGAAGUAGAUAUGAUGACAAAUGUAUAUUAUGCCAGACUGGUAUAGAAGUAGAUACGAUGGAUAAUGUAUUUGUAAACUGAGAAAGGUGUUAUAUAUAUAUAUAUAUCUUGACUGUCUGGUGUGUUGUUAUAGUAUCAGCUGAUUUUGUGAUAGAUUGAAUAGAUUGAACGUAAGUGUGUUAAGUUGGAUUGAUGAUAUGAUGGAGUAGUUUGACUAUACUAGGAAUGGAUUGAUUAAAUGUUUAGGUCUUGAGAAAUUGAAAAUAAAUUGAAAAGAAGAGAGAGAUAAGCCUGAGGGAGAAAUAUUCAUUUCCUUUUCAAAGUAAAUUGCAAAGAAAUUUUCUCAAAUUGAAAAGAAAGGAGAAAUAUACAAAGUCAGCCACCACUUCUUCUCCCUUCAGUUUGCAGUUUUCGUCUCCCUCUCUUCUAUCAUUAAAAUAAAUAAAUAAAAUAUCACAACCCGACUUAACACAAACUAUUUACUCCAACUUUUUAAACUACAAAUUUAAUUUCUCAACUUUUAAACUAUUUUAAACUUAAAACAUAAAAUUGAAAGGCCUAUUAAACAAUUGAAAGGUUUAAGAGGUAACUAGACAAACUUUAAAAGUUCUAAGGGAAAGAAUCUUUUGUUUAACUAUUACAGUAAUUAAUUUUGAAAAUAUGUUAUUUUAGAAAAACUACAAGUGUUUGAUAACUCUUUGAAAGAUAUUGAAAUACUCUCAAAUUGUAUUUUAAGCAAUUUUAAUAAAAAGAAAGUCUACAUAAAAAAAUUACCCUUUUUAAAGGAACGUUUUUUCUCUAAUCACUCCAAUGGAACUCAAACACGUACUUCAAGUUAAUUCUGGUAUCCAAGAAUCAGUCUCAUCUAACAUAAACAAGAACAUUCAACUUGAUAGAACUUCAUUACCUCAUUUUUACAAUUCCCAAAGUUACUAAAUGAAGGACCAUUCCUAAAACAUACUUACAUCCAACUUUCUCCAUGAAUAAACGUAUCGUCUUUUAUGUACUGAUGAAUAUAGAGAUGGAGCGAUCAAAGUUUGUUUAUGUACCAAAUUAGAGUGAGUUGAGAAAAGAGUGGAUUUACACAAGGACGAAAUGGCUGGCUGCUGCUUAUUCAAAACAGAAAGUUAGGGUGACCUUGUUUCUCAUAGGGACUCAGCAAAUUGAGGGGCCUCCAAGUCUACUUCUUGUCUCAUUAUACAUGCCAUUAGCCAUUCAACGUUGAAAGUCCAUAUCCCUUUUUCUACGGCCACCAAGGCUUCCUCCACGUCUUCCUCACAAGCCUCAAAGAUCGUCUUCCAUACGUUGUUUACUUUAUCUAGCUCAUGAAUCACCUAAAUUUUCAAGCAUAAUGAAUUUGCCAAAUGAGAGAAAAAAUUAUGUAUAUACUACAAGGAAAUUGCAAGAAUUCACCCUAUCAAAAAAUAUUAAACAAAUUCUUGUUCUAUUCCCUAAAAUUUUCCAUCUUUUCCCAACUUCCAAAAUUCUUCCUAUGAGAUAUAUUCCAAUCACAUAUAGCAGAAAUGACCGAUGAGUAUUGGAUAAAUGAAUAUUAAUUGAUAAAAUAAUUUACAAAAUACUAAAACCAUUAGUUGGCUACGUUUUGGAAGCUCGAUGACUAAAAUGGAUGUUUUGAAAGUUCUAAGGCUAAAAUGGAAUUUAAAUCAACAUAAUAGUAAGUUCAAGAUCAAAGACAAGCUAAACAAUAAAAUGUUGCGACCAGAAAACAAUCUAAUCAUAAUUAGAAACAUGGAUGUAUGUAUUUGUACACCAAAUCACAAAAAAUAACUCCAGAUUUCGAUCUAGAGACAAUUAAAAACUUGAACAAAUUUGAUAAUUAAAGAAACACGGAGAUGGCCAUAUGACCCCUUGUGCAUAGACUUUUUACAUUACAUGCUCAAUUCCUAGGAUCAAAACAAACAUAAAUAUUAAAGACUUAAGAAGCACAUACACUCAAGUUUGGCUAGUGUAUCAAUAAACAAUAUGUAUGGAACACUCGGAGAACACGUGUUGAACACUAGUUAGUACAGUAGAUGUGUUAGACAACAAGUAUUCCAAUGCAAUAAAGGUCAAGAUUGGUCACACACACAUAUUAAACUCUUGGCUUUGAAUAAGUUUUGAGUGAAGGACAAGCUUAUUUUUAAGCAUAUAAAUACAUAAACUUAUUGACUUUGAAUUUCUAUAUAAAUAUGAUACAUACUUUUUAAAUUAUAUAUAUUAAAACUGUGUUCUAGCACUAUCCUAUAUUUUUUAGAAAAAAAUGACACGUCACCAUGUCUAUGAUUUAUUGACCCAUGUCUAGAAUUCGUAUACGUGCUUGUUUGUUGAGAACUUCACGUCUUCAUUAGAUGGGAGGAUAGCCAUAUUAUAGUGGUUGUAUAUGUAAUAUAGAGAACCAAACCUAGUACUCGAGAUUUGUACAAUAACAGAGAACUUACAUUUCCACCGGCUGACUUGACUAUCAGGGAUAGAGUUUUAGGUGGUGGUUGAGCGUGAGCUGAUAUGCAAACAUCAUACCCUUCAAAUAAAGCUCAAGAACAUGCUUUUGCCCUGAGAACUGCAGCUUUUAGGCUGGCUCGAUACUUCGAUAUGUAGUCAUCAUCAUUUAGUAUGUAAGGCAACUCGUCUGCAGAUCAAUAAGGAAUUAAUCAAUCACAAAAAAUUAGGUAGGAUGAAAAACAUAAGUGGAAGAAAAUACAUUACGCUUUGAUACUAGCAAGCCAUUCGAACUUACCAACAAAUCUGCCUUCCCGGUAGCUUUCCUUUAACCAACUGGAGGAGACAAUCCAAGCUCUGAGUAAUUUGCAAUUAACUUGCAAUUUUAGUAACAAGAUAUAGUAAAAAUUAUGAGCAAGAGCACACUGAACACGCUUGAAGCCACAUGGUAAUGCAUAUGCUCGAUAAUCAUUGAGAACAUUAACAGAGAGAAAAUAAAGUUAAGAACAGUAGCUUGAAGAAUAAAAAACAUUCUACAACAUAAAAUCUUCAAAAACACAUUGCUUAAAAUCAAGUUUACUAAUAUAAAAGGUAAGAUAUUACGUUCCACUCUCCACACUACUGAAGUUCAACAUUUCACAUGAAAGAAAUGAAAUACUACUCUCAAAUAUAACUGAAAAAAGCAUAAAUGGGUAAAGAAAAAGCAUAGAGAAAUGCAAAAGAAUCCUUGGCUUUGAUAUAUUGAAAGGUAAAGAAUAUCAACCAUAGAUGUCCGGGAGAAGAACUCCUACAAAUACACACUUAACGCAGAUUAUCAUUCGCUAACAUGAGACCUUCUAGAGGAAUUCUGUUAGGAUACUUCCUAACAAGAACAAGAUCUUAAUUUAUUAUAAUGAACUAUAAGAAAAUACAAGAUAAAACCAAGUAUAAGGCACUUGGAACCUCCCUCUUGAGUACUCUCACCCAAGCCCUAGAUCACUCCCCAGAAUUCUCCCCUCACUUACCCUCCCUCCAUUUAUAAUAAGAUGUAACCACACUUACAUAAUAACUACUAGUAACUUUCUAAAUAUCUAAUUACCCUUAUACCCCUAACCUUAUACUAAUCUAGGUAUCUAACAUUACCCGAUCCUUCAAAACACCUUGUCCUCAAGGUGUGCUUACAAACAUGAUCAAGGCCCCUUUCUCUUUUUUUCUCUUUUUAAUUGCAAACAAUCCCCAGCAUUCUGCUCUUCAAUGUUGAAAAAGAAAUCCUCCCCUUCGGCUUUGAAAAACUCUCGAUUCCAAUAAGGUCCAUUGACUUCAGCCCACAAAGCAGCCCAAUGUACUUGAAUUUUCCUUUUCCAAAACACAUUGUCUUAGUUAACCCUUUGCAUAUCACCAACAAGUGUUUAAUUUUCAAACUCUUCAUCUCUAGUGGGCUAGUCCAUAAUCAAAGUGUUGCAUCAAGACCAAAAUCAUACUGCCGUCGGUUUCAUUCCUAGGACCCACCUACAUACACCUUUUUCUUCCCUCCUAUUUUUGGAACUCUCCACCCACUUCAUCUACAAAAUGAUGUGCCCCCAAUGUUUUAUUUAGAAUAAGUUGAAGCCCACUUGAAAUAGUAAAACCCAAGAUUGUUCCUUUUGUCCUAAUCCUCUUUCCUACCAAUUUCUACCCCAGUCCAUUUGGUCACGUGAUUCACCCCUAUUCCAGACCACCUUCUCGAGCCUCUGUAGACCGAUAACUGUCGGCUUCUUCUUUCUCCAUUGCAACCAGCCAUUUUGUGUUUCUUUGAGCAACAAAUUUUUCUUCACUCGAGUCUUCAUUUCGAGCCUCACAGGUAAUCCUCGUCGACCUUCCUCUAUAGUUUCUUCUUGGUCACUCUUUGCCAUCCUCUUCACCUUCGUUGUAUAACCGUUGCAAUCGCGUUUUCCUCGAUUCUUCUAUGGAUUCACAACCUUCUUGGAAUCCAUCGAUUUAUGGACCUGAAGAUUCCAAUCCGUUCUAAAUAAACACAAUCCAGAUCAGUGCCACUGAACACAGGCAUUUCAACCUUCUUGAAUUUGCUAUGAUCGUUCGAGUUUUCAUCCCUUUCAAACUUGUUUGUUUUACCUUCUACCUUGAUUUCCUUCAAUGUCUUACCUCCACCUUCGAUGAUACUCUCAAUCGUUGGUCCUUUGCUCGACGAUCCUUCCAUUCUUCCGGAGAUCGUCGAAUUAUCCUUCUGCUAUUCCUUCGAUGCAUUUAGCAACCGUUCUUGUUUUUCCAACUAGAUGACCAAUCUUUCGAUGCUUUUUGGCAAGGAUAACAAGUUUUCUUCAAUUGCCAGCAACUUGUGUAACUCCACUUGUAUCCCUGAGAUUUCCUUAUCAGAGGUCUCCAACUUCUCUUCGAUCUGUUUUUGUGCUGCUCUAUCGUUCUCCCAAGUAAAAACGCUCUGAUACCAAUUUGUUAAGAUACUGUAAAUAUACGGCAAGUGUAUCUUACUUUAUUGAAUUACCUCAACGAAUUACAGUAUAGAGAAUAAAAAAUCACUCACAUCUACUUCCUAAAGGCACACUCCAGUGAGGAUCACAACAAAGAACAAGAAAAACUAAGAACAAACCGCAACCAUGAAAAUGACCAAAACAAACAAUAAAAAGAACUUGACUUGGACCCUCUACUUCUCCCGAGCACGAAAGACGGCAGCCUCUACUUCUUUGGAAUAUUUUGUCCCCUUUCUCCCUCCUCUUUCCUCCCUUUUAUUUUGCUUUACUAACAAAACUAAUGGGAAAGAUCUCCUCCGAUAUUCUCUCCUCCUAUAAUCUUUCCUAUAUUCUCGUGUGGGUCAAUAUUACCCUUUUUAAUUCUUCUACUGUAUUUAAAUAAUAUUGGAGACAUAUACUUCCUAACAAGAACAAGAUCUGAAUUUAUUAUAAUGUAACUAUAAGAAAAUACAAGAUAAAACCAAGUAUAAAGCACUUGGAACCCUCCCUCUUGAGUACUCUCACCCAAACCUUAUAUCACUCCCCAGAAUUCUCCCCACUUACCCUCCCUCCAUUUAUAAUAACAUGUAACCACCCUAGUUACCACACUUACAUAAUAACUACUAGUAACCACACUUACACAAUAACUACUAGUAACUUCCUAAAUAUCUAAUUACCCUUAUACCCCAACCCUAUACUAAUCUAGGUAUCUAACAAAUUCCAUAACAUAAUGUAUUAGGGGAAGAAGGAAAUCGAGGAUAAAAACACUAGCUAGCCAACAAAUAUCUUUCAUUAGUGAGCUUGAGCCAUUUUACACGUAAAAUGGGAAAAGUAAGCCUGAAACCCAAAUUAGCCUAAUGGUUGUCUUAACAACCACUACCCACCAUCACGAUAGAAACAACUGAAAAGGAAGAGCAUGAUACAAUCCAACUCAAACAUAAGAAUUGAUUUUGAUGUUUAACUAAAAGUAAACAGGCAGUAGAAUAAGAAACUAUGCCCUUUUAGAUCUAGAAGGUUCACAACAAUUUCCAGCCUAAGCACAACUACGAGGCAAUGGAAGAAUAACGGCAAAGGCCUUGUGUGCAUGGAAUCGCUAACUUUGGUGCAAAUGAGAUGAUUAUCGGUAUUCAAAGGCCAAAAGGACACAUAGAAGAGUGUUCGUCUAAGGUUGCAAGACUAACCCUGAGAGCAAUACAAAAAUUUAGAGUUUUCCGCACUUUUCCUGUAAUGACAUGAGUGCUUGUACUCCCAUCAGCAGUGAGAGAACCACCAAGUUCCUCAAUCAUCUAAAUCAGAAAACAACUGCACAUUAGAGCAGUCACAAUUUGGAAUAAAAAGAACUUUUUAUUGUUAGAAUCUUAGAAUAUUUAUGAAAAGUUUAUGGGAAUAUUUUUCUUAAUUCCUAAAUAUUUUCCUUUUUUAUUCCUCUGUAUAUUCUAUUUAUUCUCCCUUGUACCUAUUGUAUUUUUCAUCAGAAAAUAAUAAGAAGAAAAAUAUAGUGGUUUUUCUCCUGGUACACAGGUUUCCACGUAAAGUUGUGUGUUUGUUUGUCUCCCUUUCAAUAUGGUAUCCGAGCAGGUGGUCCAAGAAGGUCUUGUGUUCAAGCCUCGCAUUUUCGUUUCCUCCCCAAUUAAAAUCCAUUUCCAGUUGUUGGGCCUUUCAAAUAUUUCAAGCCCACAAGUGAGGAGAGUGUUGGUGAUAUAUAAUUGAAUUUUCUUUCUUUUUUUAAAAAAGGAUACGAGUCUCACUAUUAUUAAUAUAAAGAAAGAGACAAAGCUCAAUGUACAUGAGGAUUAUACAAAGAGCAAAAGGGGAGAGGGAAGAUCAACAGGCGCAUCCGGGCAUCUCAAACUAGGUUGACACCCCCUUAGUGCCCUCAAAACAUCCAAAAAGCGACAACACAAGAUCAAAACAAAAAGCCACAAAAACAAAGACAAACAAAAUGAUAAAAAGAAUCUUUCCAAAGCAAAAUCAUAAUCAAAGGCAGCAUGCUGAGAACAAAGAAGAAUAAGCCUUGAUUGGUUGAGCAAAAACUGUUUGAAGCAGAGGGCUGAUCCGAAAGUCCUGAUCAUCAAAGACUUCAAAGUGGGGAUGCUGUAAAGGCUGGCCAAUAUAACACAAUAUCCUACGUCGAAGAUCUUCUUUUGCAUUACAUUUUCUAAAAUUUCCAAUCCACUCUGUUAAAGGCCUUUUCAAGGUCUAAUUUAAUGAUCCAUCUUUUCUUUUUUCGGAUAAUAUAUACCUCCAAAGUUUCUUUUGCUAUUAAAAUAGGAUCCAAGAUUUGGCACUCUUCCAGAAAGCCACAUUGUAAUGGAGAAAUAUCUUAGGAUUCUAACAAUAAAACACAAAAUAUCCUAACCAAAUGGCUAAACAGAGGCAGCACUCUGUAAUUCUUUAUUUAUGUAAAAGCCAAAACACAUUCAACAAUAGUAGAUAUGAAAAAUAAAGGAAGAACAACAUAGAAAACUUACCCAGCUCCUUUAUACAGGGCUGGAUACCCUCAGGCUACAGCAGCCUUUACUCUCCUUGAAAUAACCAAAAAAGACCUAGCCUCCCCUACCCCAACAUUACAUGUUUAUACCUCUCUCUCUCAUCCCUCCUAGUGGGCCCCACCUGCACGAUCCUCUCCCAUUAUUCUCUCAUCAUUGGUUGCUAAGGAAUUUCCCUUUCUACCCUUCCUUUUAUAGGUAUAGAUAAUAGGAGGUCUUACAAAGUAAUACCUGGCCUGGCUUUCUUUAAUCUUUCUGCGAGAACCUUUCCAAACAACUUAUAAAUUAAUGUUGAAACAACUUAUAAGCCACACUGUAAUGACCUUCCUUCUCUUGACCGAACUUCAAUAAUCGACAACUUAUAUUUAUCCACAUAAUCAGCAAAACUCUUAAUCUGCCACUAGCUUCAAACAAAGACCCAGCCAAUUCCUUUUGAACUCCAUAGUGCCUUUAUAAUACAACUGGCAAUCUCUUCUCUUUUGGUCUCCGGAAUCAAUGCUCUAUCUGGAUUAGCUUUCUUCAAAAGAUUUUUAAUAGCCAAUUGUUUCGAAUGGCCCAUGAAUCCUCUAGUGUUCCAUGAUAUAAUCUUCAUCUUUGCUACCUCUGCCUUAUAUCAAUUCAAUUUCACAUGCUGCCAAGAAAGGAACCAACUCUUGAGGGGGAAGGAUACUUGCUGACCUGCACAAAAUUUCUUUUUAUGGGGAGGAAAACAAUUUAAUAAAAUCUGGACCGAGAGAGUCACUGUCCUCUUGUUUCUCUGUCUCUGAUUGAAUUAUUUCUUCCUCAACUGGUUCAAAUUCUGCACUACUUACACUGGUGACUGAUUCAACUUCCAUGAAUUCAUCUUCUAGGUUCUCAACUUUUUUGAGACAAGAAGUAUCUUGCACAAAAUUAAAGAAUGAACCAGAAAGUUUGGAGGAGGAUUGAGAAAAUUUAUUACUUAAGGAGGAAGGCAGUACUGACCUUUUGCCAACUGAAUUUGGAAUUUGUAUCUUCACACAACUUUCCUCUAAUAAAUCAGAAUUAGCCAAGCUCAUCCAAAUGUUGCGAAAAGAAGUUCUCCCUUUGGUAUAGGUCUUGAGGUGCUUAGAAAAAUUUCUGGCAUGAAAUGGAAUAGCUUUCAUUGCAGAGAUAUUUUAGUCUUGGGAGAGGCUGGUAAUUUUGGUUGAGACUGAAAACAGGAGAUGGCCCGCAAGUGAAGUUCCUUGAUGGAGGAGAGGACUCUGAUUCUUCCUCCAAUUCGUCAGAAUACCAAAAGCCAUUGGAAUUCUGAUUAAUAAAAUUCUUGGGGCCUACCAUCUGUGUGUCAGCUUUUAAAAUGUCUGCAGAUACAUUAAGUUUGAAAAAAUCUGGUUGGGGAGGGCUAGGUGAGCUGUUUUUUGAGAUAAUAAAAUGUCGGUUGGCUGCCUUUUCUUCUUUGAGGUCUGUUUUUCUCUUUUUCUAUUGAAGUCUUUUCCCCUUCUAAGUACGUGGAGAUCCCAGCUAUACCCAAAUUUGAAUUUUUCCUUCUGAAAAUUAUUUUUUUCGGCGAGGAUUCAAGGGCUGAAACUCUUUCCGGUCGAACAAGGUUUUCUUCUUCAUCACCCAACUUCCUAAGUGCUUCGAAAGGAUUUCUUGAGAUGGAUGGGGCAUUCUGUUUGAGAAAAUUCAGGUAUCUGGGAGACCAUCACUUUGGAGCCCUUCAUCUAAAAUCACUGAAUUUAUUCUACAUAAAUCAAUAGGAUUGGAAAAAUCACUUUGAAAUAGAUCAGAUUGGAUUAUUACAGGAGCUUAUAAGGGUUCAAAAUCCCCAAAAUUAAGGGAAAAAUUUCCUCAGUUCUCACUCUUUAAUUCUAUAGUUGCUGGUAAGAAUCCGCAAAGAUUUUUCCGAACUUUAAUUCUUGCUUCAGAGAACUUGAUCAGAUUGAGUGUUUCUAAGAUUAUACUCUCUAGUCCACCAAAGUAGCUUAAGCUUAAGGCUAUAAUUGAAUUUUCUUUCAACCACCAGCUUAAACUUUUUGGUGAAUCGGUGGUUUAUAUUAUUUUAUAAAAAAAAUGUACACAGCUAAUGCCAUAUAAAAUAAAUAAAGAAAUACUAUAAAAUCUACAUCCAUAAAAUAUGCAUGUGAACACAUAUCAGAAGAUGGAUAUUUGUAAGUUAGAAAGACCGAUAACAAAAUGUCAUAAUUAAACAACAACAUUAAUAUUAUGGGUAGUUUCAAGCUUCAUUUGUCUAUUCUAGGUAGGGAUAUUGAAUAACUCUUAAAAAUAAUAUAAAGAUUGAAUCCCUAAACUUCAUGUGCUUGCUAGUAUACAACCUAAAAGUUCAACAGUUAAAGAAACUGAUUAAUCAUUUUUGGCAGGAUGUCAGAUUCGCCUUUCGAAAUCCUACAUGAGUAGAGCCAGCCAAAUAAGCCAAGCAAGAUAUGCCUCUUAAGGAAUAUGGAGAAGUUCAAUGACUGGGUAUGUAUAUGAUAAGCCUUAACCUCAAUUUUAUUUAUCAAUAAUGGAGGGAAGGAAUCAGAAGCUUCUCUAGCUCUCCCAAUUAUUCUAAGAAACCUGAUACAAGCUAUGCCAAAACAUACCCUCCCCAAACAAUCAUAAUAGCAUUUAUAUGAAAGCAUAAAAGACUCAUGGCUCCCUUAACUAGCAACAUUCAGACCAACAAAUACAGCUUCCCAUCCUCCUCUCCUGAAUCCUUUCUUGUGCCUACGGGUGUACACCUUCACUACCAUGGGCCUAUCAGUAUUUAGAGAUCGUAGAGGCUGUAUGAGCCAAGGAGUUGGAAGAGUAGGAUUAGGGAAGUGUGGAGUUUUCCGCUCUUUGUUUGGCCAAAAGUGUUUGUGGACUCCCGACAAGAAAAUUUCAAUUUUAUGCCUUAUUGACUUCGUAUGUCCUAGGCCCUAAGAGUUCAAAACUUUCUAGAUUUCACAACUUCUUGGACCACUCCUUCUGCCAAACACCCCUUUAAAGAAUACUAAGCCAAGGAUAUAAAACUUCAAUACCAUCAAUAGAAAAUCUCAUAAAAGAAACAUGAUUGAUGAAUAUUUUAGAAGACUAUAAAUUGGUACCGUACCUUCAUGAGCUGAGUUUUCUUAGUUUCGUUUGCAAUGUUCAUCAACAUAAUUUUAAAUGAUUUUCCUAAUGUGUUCUCUUCAGAAUUGAGGUCCUCUGAUGCCACAUUUACACUUCCAAAUUCUUGAUAGAAAUUUUGUGUACACUGAUUGGUUGGAUUUUUAGGAUAAAUACUUGAUAAAAUCUCAUGCUUUGAAUUGGCUAAAGAGCAUCCUUGAGAGCAGGUAUCGUAUACGUCACUUUUAGGAUCAAGAUUUUUGUUAGAAUGGGAAUGAAACUUGUCCAGAUUGACUCCUUUUACUUUCUUUGACUUUAGGGAAGAAAGUGAUGCUUCCCAAACUCUCUUUGCGCUAUGUUUAGAGCAAGAACAAUGUGUCUCAUCCAAAUUACCAAGAGUAUUGGAUAAUUCUGCAAUACUAGCUGUCGUGUUGUUCUCUAUUUCUGCAAAAGAAACCGGACCGUUGUUGUCAUGCACUGCAUCCUGGUUUAAAUAAACUGUUAUGAGAUAAUUAAGCAACAUAUGGAAAAUAAUUUAAAUUGUACUAUCUUGUGGAACAAAACCUGAAUUACACAUACCUUGAAUUUCAUUUUCUUCUCCAAGGGGCACUAAAGUUAUAAACUCGUCAUGUUGAAAAUUCAAAUUUUGAAUGGUAUGCUGAUCAGUUGCAUUUGAAACGUUGCAACCUCGAUUGGAAACACUGAUUCUUGCAGCAUACAGGGCUUCAGGCUUUAGUAGAGAAAGUAACUUUGGAAAGUCAGUUGAACACAUUGAAAUUCCCUGAAUGUGCGAAAUCCAUGGAUUUUAUUACACAUCCCAGAGGUGAACGACUUUGAGGCAUCUUGGUUAUAAUCAAUUGGUUCUCAAAGUACGCCACCUUCAUCCCCACUACAAAACUAUGUUCUGUCGAGUUGAUAGCACACUUGUUCUUUAAGAACGUCUUGAAGUUAUGGGGAGUUCCAUCAAGCAUUGUGAGUGACAGGGAUGGUAGAUUCAUUGGUACUCUCUUGAUCGAACUAUUCGCCUUCUUGGGGACACGCCUAAAUAUAUCCUUAAGCUGUCAUCCUACGACGAAUGGCCAAACUGAAGGAUUCAAUUGUAUGCUUAAGGAAUAUCUACGACAUUUUGUUGAUUCUGGACAAAAGAAUUGGGCCUAGUUGAUGGAUGUGGCUCAAUUUUGUUUUAAUGCACAAACUAGUCUAUCCACAAGAACGAGUCCUUUCGAAAUCUUGAGUGGAAGACAACCUAUACUGCCUCAUAUUUUUUAUCAUCCUUAUGCAGGAAAAAAUCCUCAAGCUCAUAACUUUACAAAAAAGUGGGAGAAGACUACGAACAUCGCUCGAGCAUACUAAGAGAAAGUCUCGAAGCGUAUGAUAAGAAGCAUCAUCCUCUCAAGUUUUGAGCGGAAGACCAACUCUUCACAGAGUCUAAAGCAAAGCAAAUUUGAUUUAGAGGACAUCAACAUCAGCAUCUCACCAGAAAAUACGAAGGGCCUGUUGAAGUUAUGAAGAAAAUUGGAAAUGCAUCCUAUAGGGUAUCAUUGCCUGCAUGGAUAAAAAAUCAUCUAGUAGCUCAUGUGAGCAACUUGAAACCUUACCACCAAGAUCCAGAUGACCAGUAGUGCAACAAUGGUGUAUGGUCAUCUAGUGACCUAAAGCAGAAAGACGAUAAAGAAAUGGAAGAAAGCUCGUAUCAUGUGUUUGUCCGUGGUUUUUUGGAUUUUAAUAAGCUAACUUGUUGUCUACGUAAAACAAGUGCAACAUAAUCGCUCCUCUCGUGUUUGAAAGCUCGCGAUUGGGACACAAGAAAUGCAAUAGCCAAGAAUGCACACGAGGAGGGCUACACGAAAUGCCAAGCACACAACCAAAGUGAGGUUCACAAUGUGCUUGUGUGUGAGGUUAGCAUGCAGGCAUGCCCAACGCACGUGAAAAGCCUCUUGUGAGAUUCACACACAGUAGCCAGCGCCCAACCAAGGCCCUGCCGCCCACCCAUUCGUGCCAGGCAGUGUCAUAUUGCAUGUUGAGCUAUUUUUGGUAAUUUUUGAGUUUUUUAAGUAUACUUUUGAUAUUUUCUUGGCAAAAGAUAAUUAAUUGUACUAUUUUACCAUUAUUUCAGGACAUGAGAAGAUCAUACAAAUUUAUAAACAAAGGAUUUGAGCUUGUAUCUGUGAGUGGAAAAUGUUUUAUUUAAAUUGAUUUCAAGCAUGUUCUUAAGUCAUGAUUUAUGACGGAUUUAUGAUAAAAUGUUUAAGUUAUGUUAUGAAAAGUCUUUCAAGCGUGUUAUUGUUUAAAGGUAUUUAUUCAAUCAUAUUGUUUGCUCUUCAAAAUGCAUAAUAUUCAAAAUGUUUUCCCACUUUCUAGGUAGAGAUCAUGUCCUCUAAGCCUAACUUGCUGCUACCUGUCUACUGAAGGAUUUCAUUUUGUUAUCAUAUGUGUCCUGUUAUUUUGUACUAAUGAUAAAUUAGUCUUCUGUGCUAUCCGACUUAGGCUUUUGGGAAGGUUUUAUAAGGUUUUGUUAUAGAUAAAUAAGAUUACGUUUUGUCUAUGUAAAACUUGUCUAAGGUUGUUAAAUGAAAAAGGCUUAGCCCAAUUGGUUUUAGUAAAAUUUAUGUGUUAUGUUUCCACUGUUGUUUAAAGUUUAAAGGUUCAGGCUAAGGGUCAGAUGGUGAAAAUGUUUUAUUUAAAGUGAUUUCAAGCAUGUUCUUAAGUCAUGAUUUAUGACGGAUUUAUGAUAAAAUGUUUAAGUUAUGUUAUGAAAAGUCUUUCAAGCGUGUUAUUGUUUAAAGGUAUUUAUUCAAUCAUAUUGUUUACUCUUCAAAAUGCAUAAUUUUUAGAAUGUUUUCCCACUUUCUAGGUAGAGAUCGUGUCCUCUAAGCCUAACUUGCUGCUACCUGUCUACUGAAGGAUUUCAUUUUGUUAUCGUAUGUCCUGUUAUUUUGUACUAAUGAUAAAUUAGUCUUUUGUGCUAUCAGACUUAGGCUUUUGGGAAGGUUUUAUAAGGUUUUGUUCUAGAUAAAUAAGAUUACGUUUUGUUUAUGUAAAACUUGUCUAAGGUUGUUAAAUGAAAAAGGUUUAGCUCAAUUGGUUUUAGUAAAAUUUAUGUGUUAUGUUUCCGCUGUUGUUUAAAGUUUAAAGGUUCAGGCUAAGGGUCAGAUGGUGUCGUUCUUGACGUGGGUGCUAUCAAUUGGCUUCACGCCAUAUCUCGAGCCACGCAAGUAGGUGCUCGUGGUGGGGUGUGAUAGCCUAAGUUGGCUUAUUAACGGUUAAAAUGUAAACAUGUCCAUAACAAAAUAGUCGGGCAAGGCCCAUGUGGACCGACUGGUAAAGGUUGAAGAGCAAAUGCUCUACCUAAUGAAAGUUCCUAACUCAAUUCGCUUCUUGGAAACCUGCCUUAAAGAAAUUUUUUAGAAAGCUGAUGCUAUUAAUUAAUCCACCACCUAAAAUCUUAAGCUAGUGAUUAAAAGUAAAUUUAAUUAUAUAUCACUAACAAUCCCCCACUUAUGGGUUCGAAAUAUCUAAAAGGUCCAACAAGUGAAAAUCAAUUUUAAUUGGGAAGGAAACACCAAUACAGGGACUUGAACAUAGGACCUUUUGGACCACCUACUCUAAUACCAUAUUAAACCCCAAAUUCACCCAAAAGCUUAAGCCGUCAUAAACCGUUAUAUACCAUAUGGACCACCUUUUGGUAAAUUUAAUUAUAUAUUACCAAAGUAUGAGGUUUCAUCACAAUACCAAUUGGCAAUGAGAGGAGUAGCUCAUCUAUUUUAUAAGGAAUCUAAGUUUCCUUGGUUUUUCAAUUGUGGGAACAUGCCCUUCAAGAUGGUGCCUCUUUGGUUUCACCUAUCUUGAACCAAAUAUCCGUUUAGGCUUAAUGAGCUCUAAUACCAUAUUGAAAACAAUAUAUACGAAACCAAAGCUUACGUGAAAACGCAAGAAUCGAAAGAAAAGCAUUGUGUUUGUAGUUUUAUUAUUUUUAUGAUAAUUACAGAGGUAUAAUUGGUGGUUUAAUAUAUAUCACUAACACUAAUGUUGCAAUGAUCGAUCAUCUCGAUGGAUUACCCAUUGAAGAGUUGUUGACAAGAGUUGACACUCUAGAAUCAAAAGUUGUAAGAACUAGAUGUUGUAAUUUAUGUCCUAAAACUCGUUGUAACCAUAAUCUAUUCAAUAAAGUCGUUAUUGAUACUAUAAUCUUAAAGCCAAUAAACUAAGGACCCGAGGUUAUUUUUUCAAGAACGGGAAGGAAGGUUAUAUCAUAUCGUGAGUUUGUUCGUGAUUUUCGGAUUUUACAUGACUGACUUAUUGACUGAGCAAAACAAGUGUUCUACAAUUGUCCGUUCCAUGUUUGAAAGAUUGCGAUUGUGGCAUGCAGAGUUUCACAAGUGUGCUUGUCCAAGGCAUUAUUUGCCUAUGGCCGCAUGCUCGAAUAUCCUCAAAGCACUUUAUCUUUAUGCUUUGUACUUAGUUUAGUCAACUGCUUUCUUUUUGUUGUCACCGACCUAAGGUGCGUCGUUUCACAAUAUUCAUAUGUAAGGUUGUCAAAGCUAAAAAAGUUUAAGAUGUAUUGUAGGGGAGGCAUGGUAGUUGAAUCCCCAACUAAGCCCUAUUGUGAUUUUUGCAAAUCUAAGCUUUCUUUGCAAUAGACAAUAUUCAAUUUUUUCUUUAAGGAUGUUGUCAAUGUUUUUCUUUAUCUCUCACAUUUUAUAAAACCAAUUUCUCUCAAAAGAUGAAGCGAGGCUACAUCGUACCACAAGUUUGUCCGCAACUUUCAAAUUUCACAAGGUUGCCUUCUUCAUCAAUUUAGAACAAGUGUUGCACAAUCGCCCGUCCCGUAUUUGAAAAGUUGCAUUUUGUGACAAGUGGUAUUAAAGCUUUGUUAGCUCCUUGGCUAAGCGAGAUGCAAUUAUGUCGACAAUGAAACAACUAUCAAAGUUGCAAUCUGAGCGACUGACUGAGAUUGAAAAGGAAUUCUUGGAUAUGAAAGAAUUGUCAAACGAAGUAAGAUUUCUCCAAACCCAACUUGAGAUGUUUAAAGAAAAAGUCAAAGAAAUAGACGCAUUGAAUGCCUAAAUAAACAAACUACCCAUAAAUGAAUUUGCGCUGAGGGUUGAUUCGUUAGAACAUAAAACCACCAAAGUAGGUAGUUUUGAACGUGGAAGUAGCUCUUCAAGUUCUAUCGCACAAAUGGAAGAGCGUGUCGAAGAGUUUGACUUUUGACAAGCUCCAACAUAAUCAGUUAUAUUUCAAAAAAGAGAAAAGUGUUUUUGCUAAAUAGCGUAUCAAUUUUCUGGGUCACAUCAUCGAAUGUAGAAAGAUUUGAAUGGACGAACAUAAGUUGUGAACUAUUAAGGAGUGGAGAGCCCCCACUUCCGUGAAAGAGUUACGUUUCAUCCUUCAAUAUAUACUAAAAUAGGGUUCACCUACUAUCCUCUAGACUCAGUACCGGGAGAAAGAAAUAGAUGGAAAAAGAAAUGGGCUUGGUGAUUUUUUUUUCUAUGUAAAUAAGAAAUAGAAAUCCAAUUUGGUACAAGAGCCCAAAUUCAAUAGCCAGCCCAUCAAAUGAGGUCAACGGCCCUAUUUAUAAGGAUUUUCCAUGCAAAAUUGCAUGUCCAUGGAAUACUAAAGCCCAAGAACUCAAAGCUCUAUUUAUAAUAUGAAAUUCGAUGGCUAUAACACAUAUACUUGUCAGUUUCUCUCUCUUCUCCCAAUUCGAACAAUUCGACUUAUUCCAUCACACUGUUUUAAGUUUAUUCCAUAUGAGCUAGCAAGGGAAACUAAUGGACCUAUAUAUCAUGGACUCCAAUGAUUCAAGAUUAAUUAACAAAAUUCGUAUAGACUGAGUUAAUCAUUAUUUGUUAACUAACGGGUCAUUCAUGUACUGGAACGAUUCAGAAUCACCUCGUUUGUACUAACUACAAAGCUGGCGGCAUCCAUAGUUUUUCUGAAAAAAUCUGGGUUACUACAACGUCACCACGAUAUACAAUUUUCCUGAUAAGAUGGUACUUACGUUCGAUAUGUUUUCCCCGUUUACGGCUUUUAGGUUCUCUUGAAUUUGCAUCUGCACCACUGUUGUGACAGUAUAAAGUGAUUGAUAGAUGAAUAUUUGGAACGACUUCAAGAUCUGUCAAGAAUUUUCUUAGCCAUAAUGGUUCUGUUGUUGCUUCAAAAGUUGCUACGUAUUCUACCUCCAUUGUGGAAUCAACUAUACAAGUUUGUUUUAUGCUUCUCCAAACUACUACUCUUCUAUUUAGAGUGAAUACUAAUCCUGAUGUAGACUUUCUAGCAUCUUUAUCAGUUUGAAAAUCAUAAUGAGUGUAUCCAGUAAGGAUCAAAUCUUUUGUACCAUACACGAGAAUGUAGUGUUUUGUUCUUCAAAGAUAUUUUAGAACAUUCUUAACGGUUGUCCAGUGAUCACGUCCAAGAUUGGACUGAUACCUACUGACCAUCCCUACUAAGUAGCAAAUGUCAGAUCUAGUACACAACAUUGCAUAUAUCAAACUUCCAACAGCGGAAGCAUAGGAAAAUUUUCUCAUAUCCUUAAUUCUUGAGGUGUCUUACGACAUUGUUCCUUUGACAAAUGAAUUCCGCAGAUGUAUAAUAGCAUACCGUUUUUGGAAUUCUACAUUUUAUAUCUAGACAACAUUUUGUCUAUAUAAGAUGCUUGAGACAUUGCUAGUGUUUUGUUCUUGCAGUUCUGUACAAUUUGGAUCUUAAGAACGUAUUGUGCAUUUCCCAGAACUUUCAUUUGAAAUUGCAUAGCUAGCCAUUUCUUGAUAUUAGUAUGAAAUCCUAUGUCCAUUUCCAAUAAGUAGAAUAUCAUCUACAUACAAGACUAAGAAUACUACAAUGGAAUUGACGACCUUUUUUGUAAACAUAAGGUUGGUCAACCUUUUGUAUCAAAGCCAUAAGAUUUGAUCAUAGUAUCAAAUCUUAUAUUCUAGGAUCUAGAUGUUUGUUUUAAUCUAUAAAUGGAUUUUUGAAUCUUACAAACCUUUUGUUCUUGAUCUUGAUCUAUAAACCCCUCUAAUUGAGUAAUAUAGAUACUCUCUUCAAGAUUGUCAUUCAAGAAAAGUUGUCUUGACAUCCAUCUGCCAAAUUUCAUAAUCAUAAAACGUGGCGAUGCAUAAGACUAUUCUAAUUGACUUUAGCAUGGCAACGAUAGAGAAAGUUUCUUCAUAGUCUAUGUUAGAAACAGACACACGCAGUGGAAAAAUGGAAUACAAAAUUACCCUAAUUGCACCUAUUUAACUUGCAACCUUAAAUUAAAAGAAUUAGGAUUUGGAAUUCGUAUCUCCAGCAUUCUCUGCAUCCCCUGCGACCUGGCAGCAUCAUCCUUACUAUUCUUAAAAACUUAUUAGAAUGAAAUUCCUCUUCACAAACCAACACGAAAUCUUUCAGCAUGAUUUUCCUCACUCACAUGCAUCCUAGGAAAAUUUCCAAGAGGUCACCCAACAUAGAAUUUCUUCAAGCUAAGCACGCUUAACUCUGAAGUCCCUAUAAUCGAGCCACAAAAAAAAAAAAAGGUUCACAUUGUUGGUAUAGGUAUUAAGUUUUAAUUAUUUUCAGUCUUUCUUAACAUGACUUUCAUGUCCUCAAGGUGCACCUUGUCGGUAUACUUGUCAAUUUCUCUCUCUUCUCUCAAUUCUCUCAAUUCGACUUAUUCCAUCAUAAUGUUCUAAGUUUAUUCCAUAUGAACUAGUAGGGAAACCUAAUGGACUUAUAUAUCAUGGGCUCCAACGAUUCAAGAUUAACUGGUUAAAUUCUUUUAGACCGAGUUAAUCAACAUUCGUAAACUAACGGGUCAUUCCACUAAAGUCUCGCAGUUGCACUCUCCCUCACUAUAGAUAUAUUCUUGUCCAUUUAAUAUAACCAUGAUCAAUAAGUUAAUCCUUCACAUGUUAUUCGUAACCUCGAAUGGAUCAAAUUAUUGUUUUAUCCUUGAGACUACAUCUUAUUUCUUAAGUCUCAUUGAUCCACUAUUGAACAAUUGGUUUAAGGUCCAACCUAUAAACUUAAUCCCUCUCAGGCUAAUGUGAGGGUGGGCCCCUUGUUCAAGACUUGGAUUCAGUGCUUAAGAGAACAACUUAUCUACUAACCCUAAAACAGGUAGAGAGUGAAUUUUGUCUUGCAUCCUAUGUUCCCAGCCAUUCAUCUAAUCUUACCCUUGAAAUAGGAGGCUUAUUGGGAGAAUGUUGAUGAGAUACCCUCACCUAUGCAGAUGUAACCCUAAAACAAGUAGAAGUGAAUUCAGUCUUAUGUAAGUACUUUACAGUGCUUAAGAGAACAACCUAUCUACUAACCCUAAAACAGGUAGAAGUGAAUUUUGUCUUGCAUCCUAUGUUCCCAACCAUUCAUCCGAUCUUACCUUUGAAAUGAGAGGCUUAUUGGGAGAACGUUGAUGAUAUACCCUCACCUAUGCAAAUGUAAGGAUAAUCUCAUGUGAACAGGAGUUCAUAGUUAGCUUAGGAUUAAGAUUAAGCUACCUAAGUCAUCAAUAAACGAAAUAGUCAGUUCUAAACAGUAAACGGUGUUAUAACGUAAAAGUGACUAUUUCAUGGAUCAGUUUUAUAUAAGUACUUUACAUAGGAUGCCCCAACUUUCAUGUCUCUACAUGAACAAUUUAGGAUCAGUUUCAACAUCCGUAGUUUCUGUAAAUUAGGCAUUAUAGACUAUUGAGGCUAUAUACUCGAACUUGAUCCACAUUUAUGUCUCGACAUAAAGUUCAAAUGUAUUAAAAAAUAGCAUUAAGACUUAGUUUAUUGGAUUUAAGAUUAUAAUUUUAAAAUUUUUAAUAACGAUUUUAUUGAACUGAAUAUGAUAACAAACUACGAGUUUUAGGACAAAAAAUCCCAACAUAUGUAUUUUUGCCUCUAAUAAUAAUGUUGAAAGAUGUUUGUUGUGGUUUCAUAUGGGUGAUAUCUCUUCUGGUUGGACAUAGUCAGGUUUUGUAAUGGGUGACUUUAACGCUAUCAAAAUGCAUUUUGAGGCUUUUGAUAGGUCUUCUAUUCCUAUGGAUAUGGAGGAGUUCGAUAUGGCUAUUUGCGAGGCUUAUUUAGUUGAACCUACAGUACAGGGUAACUGGUUAACCUGGACUAGAAAGGUUCAUGGGUCUGGUUUGAUAAAACGGUUUAAUCGUAUUCUGAUUAAUGGUGUUGGAUUACUGCAUGGCCUUCGGGUAUUUCUGAUCACUCCCGUCUUAUUUUAUCCCAACUUUUAGCAGAGACAGUGGGUAGUUUCUUUUUGUUUCUUCAACCAUUGGGUUGAGGAUUCUUUGUUUAUUGAUGUUGUCUCUUCGAUUUGGAGUCGCCAUGUAGGAGUUCCUCUGAUUGUGAGUUUCGUGAGAAAUUUACAUAACCACAAGCCUACCCUCCAUAGACAGUUUGGUAAGCACAUUCAGAGCCUAAGUGAGGAGGUUCGUAUUGCUAAAGAGUCCAUGGAUAAAGCUCAGAGAAAGGUUGGGCAAAAUCCUAUGUCUGAUGUUUUGAGUCGCCAAGCAGGUCUUGCCAUUGAGGCCUUUUGGACGACCGUUUAGAUUGGAGGAAGCCUUCAUGUGUUAGAAGUCCAAGAGGUUUGUGAGUUGCCUUAGAACUUGUGUUACCGUCCUCGAUGUUCUCCAUUAUGAUUAAUGGCUCUUUCAAGGGUUUUUUAAAUGGGAGGAAAGGUUUGCAGUAGGGUGAUCCUUUAUCUCCUUUCCUUUUUAUCAUGGUGAUGGAGGUCCUCUCUCGUAUGUUGAAUCGGCCUCGUCCGAGCUAUCAGUUUCACAGGCAUUGUGAGAAGGUUAGCUUAACUCAUCUGACCUUUGCUAAUGAUCUUAUAAUUUUUUGUGCUGCUGAUGAUUCCUCUCUGAGUUAUAUUAACGAGACUAUUCGAAAGUUUGGUGAUCUCUCGGGGCUAUUUACUAAUCUUAGUAAAAUUUCUAUGUUUGUUGUAGGGUUAAUAGUGAUGAUGUUUAUCGUUUGACUACCAGUUUGGGUUUUGUCCUCAGGCAUCUCCCUGUUCGUUAUCUUGGGCUUCCUUUACUUUUUGGAAGGUUACGACCUACUGAUUGUGCUCUCUUAUUCAACGUAUUACUAGUCAGAUUCAUUCUUGAUUUGCUAGAGUUUUAUCAUUUGUAGGUAGAUUGCAACUGGUUCAAUAUGUGUUCUAUAGUCUUCAGGUUUACUAGGCUAACGUGUUUGUGCUGCCUGUGAGUGUGCAUCAUGAGGUUGAUAAAAUCUUGAGGUCUUAAAAACCGAAAUACAUGAGUGGACCCGAACCGGUUUACGUGAACCGUGAAACAUAUAAAAACCGAAAUACAGGAAAUGGACCGAGCGGAGAUGGUCCCAUGAAAAUUGUUGGCCCAAAGGCGUGUGGGCCGAUUGUUUUGAAUGAAAACUUGAUGAAGCCCAGUGAGCCGGUAAAAGGGCUGAAGCUGAAUGGUGUGGACACAUUUACGAAUGGAAUUGGUCAUGGAUCUCUGGUUGAUGGGCCAUCGUUGAAUGAUGGGCCGCCCAUCUAACACGAAGGAGUGCUUACCUGCUGGUGCUUCAAGUGUUCAGCAUGUUGGGCAAAUUGCAGCGGCCGAAGGAUAUGGACCCGGGCUUGAUGCUAUUGCAAGUGCCCCAAAGAUUGGGUCGGUUGAUAACCGUUUGGUACUAAUUCAAAUGGUGGGCCGCUUGUUCCGUUUUGUGGGCAUGAGGUGCAGAAAUCUAAUAAUUCUGGAGGUGCAGGCAAAAAUUCAUGGGCUUCCUUAUUUGGCUCAACAAGAGGUUUCUCUAUGACCUAUACACCUCUGACUACCAUGGGAGAGAAAAUUGUGGUGACCCCGUUUGAAGAAGUUAUUAGUCAAGGAGUUAGAGUGUGGGAGAACUCCCUCAUCAGCCAAUUAAUUGAUGCAAAAUUGCCGUAUCUAGUCAUCUAUCGUCUUAUAGAGAAGAUUUCGGGUAGAAUUGAAAUGCCAACAACUACUUUGAUGGAGAAUGGGCUCAUCUGCUUUCAAUUCAAACAUCUGAAGUCGAUAAAGUGGAUCUUAUCCCGGGCCCAUGGCACCUUGGAGGCAAACCUAUGGUCCUCCGCAAAUGGACUCCAGGUAUAGUUCCUGAAUCCUUUGUCUUUGAUUCAGUUCCUGUUUGGAUAAAGUUAGGGAGGAUUCCGUUGGAGCUAUGGACGGAUGCUGGUUUGGCUGUUGUAGCGAGUGCAAUAGGAAAACCUCUUUCUUAUGCAACGUAUAUGCGUGGAAUUGAAUGUGGACAGUAUUAUGCUUGCCGAAGUAACAGUCAACCUUAGAGGAGAGGAAUUUAUUGUAACUGUCACUUAUGAGUGGAAACCAAAAAAAUGUAACUUAUGUCGAUCUUUUAGACACUCGCAGAACACCUGCCCUAAGAAAAGAAGCAAUGAAGGUAGUAAAAAGGAAGCUGCAAGUAAAGAGGUUCCUGUUAAAGAGGUUGUUCCUACUAAAGAGGUGGUUCCAGAUUGUGGGGAGUAUGGAGAUGUUGUGUUGGAAUCCUUCCAACACAUGGAAGAAGGAGAAAUUAUUACCCAUAAACUGGCUGAAAAGGUGGAGGUAAAUCAGGAGGAAUUUACCCUAGUUGACAGGAAAAAUAGGGGAAUGAUCUCUAUUCGGGACAGAGGGAAAAGGGCGGAAGUGAGUAUCCCUAACUCCUUUAACAACCUCAUGGAGGUGGAUAAAGGAGAUAAAUGGCCUUUAUCUAUAGUGGAUGGCUCCCCUCCUCCCUUACGAUUAGAUGACUCUUCUAUGGGCCUUUUGAGUACUACAAGUGAUGUAAUUCCUAUGGGAGAGGCGACUCCCAUACGACCUCAUAGUUAGUUAGUGUACGUGGAACGUGCUGGGCCUUAUAGACCUGUAAAGUGUAGAGCGGUGAACGACUUCUUAGCCGUGUCUACGGUGGGUUUCUGUUGCAUCCUGGAGACUAGAGUUCGAGAGGAGAACUUUGUCUCGAUAUCUAGAAGAUUUGGUGAUUCGUGGGGGUUCAUUAGUAACUACAAUAAUAGUGGAGUAGGUAGGAUAUGGGUUAUGUGGAAACGUAACAGAUUCAUGUUCACGACUAACGAUGUUAUUGACCAGUUUAUUUCCGAUGUAAUAACAGAUUUGAUCUCUAGGGAGAAGGUAGAGGUUCUGUGUGUGUAUGCCUCUAAUAGUAAUAUCGAGAGACGUGUUUUAUGGAGGCGAAUGGCUGAGAUCUCUACUGGUUGGAAAGGACUGGGUAUGGUCUUGGGUGAUUUUAACACCAUCAGACUCCACUCUGAAGCCUUCGGGGGUGCUCCGAACGUGGGGGAUAUGGAGGAGUUUGACAUGGCUAUUUGAGAGGCAGACCUUGUUGAACCCGCGGUCCAAGGGAACUGGUUUACUUGGACUAGUAAGAUACAUGGGUCGGGUUUGAUGAAGAGACUUGAUCGUAUCCUAGUGAAUGAUGAGGGGCUUAGUACAUGGCCUAACAUGAGGGUUAACGUCCUCCCGUGGGGUAUUUCUGAUCAUUCUCCCAUACUUGUCUAUCCCAGUAAUCAGCGAAGCCAACAAGUGGUCUCUUUUCGUUUCUUUAACCAUUGGGUUGAAGAAGCGUCCUUUAUGGAUGUUGUGUCCUCUACUUGGACCAAAGAUACUAGAGUUUCUCCAAUUAUGAAUAUUGUGAGGAACUUAAGAAAUCUCAAGUCGAUUCUUCGCAGACAUUUUGGUAGGCAUAUCCGAAUCAUCAGUGAGGAUGUUCGUCUUGCCAAUGAAACCAUGGACCGAGCUCAAAGAGAGAUGGAGAUGAACUCUCUGUCGAAGGAGGCGACUAAUCACGCGAGCUUAGCCAUGGUAAACUUUUGGAAAGCGAUUAGAGUGGAGGAAGCCGCUAUGCGCCAGAAGUUGCAAAUCAGUUGGUUGAAGCUAGAUAACCAGAAUACUGCCUUUUUUCAUCGAUCUGUUCGAUCAAGGCAGAGCAGCAAUGCUUUGAGAUCAGUUAUUGACCUAGAUGGAAAUCGGUUGACUAACCAUGAUCAGGUGACUCAGGUGGUAGUGAAUUAUUUCAAAGAUAGUCUGGGUUCUCAGAAUAUUAGCUACAGAGCUCUCUACUAGUAUUGAGGAGAUUGUUCAGUUUAGAUGGACUGAGGAGUGUUGCCAGGCCCUCCAGCGUCGCCUAUUGGCAGGGAGGAAGUGAGACGUGUUCUGUUCUCCAUGGAUGGUGGAAAGGCUCCAGGCCCUGAUGGGUAUUUAGUUGGCUUCUUCAAAGGAGCUUGGACGGUGGUUGGAGAGGGUUUCUGUGAUGUCGUCUUACACUUCUUUGAGACCAAUUACUUCCCUCAAGGGGUGAAUACGACUGCUAUUACACUUAUUCCUAAAAGGAAUGGUUGCUGAUCGAUUGGAGGAUUUCAGCCCUAUAUCUUGUUGCAGCGUUAUUUAUAAGUGCAUUUCAAGAAUAUUGGCAGAUAGGCUUCGUGUGUGGCUUCCUUCUUUUGUUAGUGGAAAUCAGCCAGCUUUCAUCCCUGGGAGGAGUAUUAUUGACAAUAUUCUUCUUUGUCAGGAGCUUGUAGGGGCAUACCAUUUGCACAGAGGUAAACCUCGGUGCACUAUGAAGGUUGACCUCCAAAAAGCUUAUGAUUCUGUUAAUUGGGAUUUCCUCUUUGGCCUGCUGAUUGCCAUAGGUACGCCUUUAAGAUUUGUGAGUUGGGUUCGAGCGUGUGUGACCUCUCCGAUGUUCUCCAUUAUGAUUAAUGGAUCGUUGGAAGGUUUUUUCCAUGGGAGGAAAGGACUUAGACAAGGUGACCCUUUAUCCCCGUUCUUAUUUGUGAUGGUCAUGGAGGUGCUUUCUCGCAUGUUGAACAGCCCACCUCAGAAUUUUCAAUUCCACCAGUUUUGUGAGAAGGUCAGAUUAACUCAUCUUACUUUUGUAGAUGACCUGAUGAUCUUUUGUACUGCUGAUAAUCAUUCUAUGAGUUUCAUAAAAGAGACUAUUAAGAGGUUUGGUGAGCUUUCGGGACUGUUUGCUAAUCUUGCUAAAAGCUCAAUUUUUCUUGUGGGGGUUAAUAGUUCGAAAGCUUCUCGGCUUGCUGCUAACAUGGGUUUUUCCAUUGGUCAUCUCCCUGUUCGUUAUCUUGGGCUUCCUCUCCUCUCUGGAAGAUUGCGGAGCUCUGAUUGUGAUCCCCUUAUUCAGCGUAUUACCAGUCGUAUUCGGUCUUGGUCUGCUAGAGUGUUAUCUUUUGCAGGUAGACUUCAGCUUGUUCGCUCAGUCCUUAGGAGCCUUCAGGUUUAUUGGGCUAGUGUGUUCAUGCUUCCUAUGAAAGUCCACAGAGACGUUGAUAAGAUCUUGAGGGCUUAUCUGUGGAGAGGUAAGGAGGAGGGAAGAGGUGGUGCUAAAGUUUCCUGGGAUGAGGUUUGUCUUCCUUUUGAUGAAGGAGGUCUUGAUAUUCGCGAUGGAUCUUCUUGGAAUAUAGCAAGCACAUUGAAGAUAUUAUGGUUGCUACUUGUUAAAUCUGGUAGUUUGUGGGUUGCUUGGGUGGAAUCUUAUAUCCUUAAAGGGAGAUCGUUGUGGUGCUUUAGGGAAAUCUUGCGUAAGCGGGAUAUCCUUAAAGCUCAUGUUAAGAUGGAGGUGGGCAAUGGAAGGAAAUGUAGAGUGUGGUUGGUUCCAUGGAUUCAGAGUGGGCCGAUUAUCCAGCAGUUUGGGUAGAGGGUGAUCUAUGAUGCGGGUAGUCCGUGGGAUGCGAGGCUGGUGGAUUUCAUGGGUCGGGAUGGUGAUUGGAGGUGGCCGCUUGUUUCUUUGGAUUUUGAUGGACAUUUGGGAUAGGGUUCAGGGAGUGAGGCCGAGUCCGAGUGUUGAGGAUAGGUGGGUCUGGGUGCCGGGGAGUCAUGAUAGUUUUUCGAUCACCAGUGCGUGGGAGACUAUUCGUCCUCAUAGUAGUAGGGUUGGUUGGUCGGGUUUACUAUGGGGUGGGGGAAAUAUUCCUAAGCACUCUCUUCUGUGCUUGGUUGGCCAUCAGGGAUAGGUUGGGUACUAGAGAUAGGUUAAGUCGGUGGGAUAGGUCGAUUCCUUUAUCGUGUUUGCUUUGUGGAGGGAACUAUGAGUCUCGUGAUCAUUUGUUUUUUUCUUGUCAUUUUGGGUGGGAGAUUUGGUCGAGGAUCCUUUUGCUUAUGUCAUCUUCUCAUAGAAUCGGUUAUUGGGGGUUGAGUUAUCUUGGAUUUAUAAUCAGGGUAUUGGGAAGAGUGUGAGGAGAAAACUGUGGCGCCUUCUCUGGUGUGCUACAAUUUAUUUCAUUUGGCAGGAGCGAAAUCAUCGUCUUCAUGGAGGUGCUUCGGGAGCCUAUGGUUGUAUUCCAGCUCAUUCGGUCGUGUAUUAAAGCGCGUGUGCUGCUUCUUGGUCGGAUGGUGUUCAUGGUCUUAUUUAAUGUUCUUUUCGUUUGCUUGUCCCGGGCUGUGGGGUUUCUCUUCUCUUUAUUAACUUUGUUGUCUUUCUCUCUUCUUCUUGUCCUUUUAAUGUUUGGAACACUAGUUGGUUUCUUUUGGUUUUAGUUCUUGUUCCCGAGAUGUGGGGUUGUUUUGGGUACUUAUGGGUUGUUUUGUCUAACUACUUGUUCUGUGAGUGUUGUUCGCUCUUUUGUCUUGACCUCAGGCUGUGAGGUCCACCUUGUUGUUGUAUAAUAUUAUCAUUACCUUUUCAAAAAAAAAAAUCAAACUCAAUGCUAAGUUUGACUGCUCCCUUCGAAGUGACAACAAGCCUCGUUUUCGCCCUACUGUGGAUCGAGGAGGAUUCCUCCUCUUUUCAAAGCCCUCAAUCAAACUUGACGUUAUGUUUAAAACACUAAAAAUAGAUGGUCUAGUUUUGGUUAGGCCAAAAGCGAUGUUUUCCCCCAAAAGCUCUAAUAGCUAGGGAACUCAACAUGUUCUACUUGACCUAACCGACUUGACUCUGUAUUUUUUAUGAGCUUUUUUUAAUGCAUAUUGCAUAUGUUUUUUUUUUUAUAAUUGUUGAUUGUCUCACUUUUUUAUGGUCUGCAUUUACGAGCCUCUUUUCUUUCUUUGUUAUGAACUGCGCGUAACUAGGCAUUGCUAGAACCGAUGGGGUAACAUUUCUAUGGUUCUACACUUAGUUUCUAAGUGUGAUUGCUCACCUCUAAUUUUCAAAACACUUAAUUUCUAAGCACAUACAAUGUUCACCUAGAAAAAAUGAAAAUUGUUGUAGUUAAGAUCAAAACUAAAUAGUUAUGAAAUAAGACAUAAGAGAUUUGAUUUUAACAACCUUCCCGUUGUACUUGGGAUCCACUCUGGCUUUGUGCUGGAAAAUUGGUUUGGAGCUGAUCGUAAGCUUUCGGUUGCUCUUCUGUAACCUUUAGAUACUCUUCAAAGCUAUAAGCUUUGCUUCCUGACGAAAGAAUCUUCUACUAUUACAAUACAUAAGAAAAUUCUAUUUCAUAAAUCCUGUAUCAUAAUUGAGGCAAAUAGAAUGAUUAUUCUAUAACCCUACCGAUAGUUUCAUUCUUAACAUUCAUAGACAUGAUGCAUGGCAACUAUCCAAUUCUAUUUCAUGUUCUCGAGAAUGGCUCGGUUUAACAAUAAUGUUAAUUUUUGUUUUCUAUUUCAAAAUAACAACGCUGCUUACUAACUCUCAAUUUCAUCGAGACCAAUUUCUCACUCAAACAUGGUCUUGCAUUCUCUAGAAACGUCCUACAAACAAAAAUGAAGAACAAAAACUACAAUAAGGUCUAUGAAAAAGUUACAAAGGAAAAUCUCAAAAACUGAUAUGUAAGUCAUAACAACCUUAAGUCCUGCUUAUCGUGGUUUAAAAUGCAGUAAGGUUUUUCCAAGAGUCCGAGCAACUAGCAUGUAAAUAAGUUAAGUCAACUAAAUUUGCUAUAAAUUUACUCGUAUUAACAUUAUCAUUGUUAUAGACUUGACAACUUCAAAUUUAUCAAUAUAAAAUAUGCUUUAACAAAACGUACCUUGAGGUUCCUCCAACCUUAUUAAAAAAGCAAAUAAUCCAACAAUUUAACAAAUUUAUAGUGCAUAUUAUGUAUAUCAAUUGAUCACAACAAAAUAAGAUCGAACAAAUACCCAUGAGUAAUAUUUAGCCACCAAAUGAAUAAUGAUGAAAACCUGAAAACAAAACCGAGAAAAAAAAGGAAACAAUUCAUCAACAAAACAAAUUUAGGGGACUAAAAAAUUGCUUACCUUAUUACACACUUCAAAAUAUUAAGAAAAGUGGAGGGAAAAAACCAACCAAUAAUCAACAAAUAAACUUCAACACAAAUAGCCACAAAUUUUCUUCUUUAAAGGUAUCACAAAUAAGUCCAUCAGUAAUAACAAAAUAAAAAAGGGCAAUGUGCAAUUGAAUUAUACAGUCGUAAAGCUAUGCUAAAGGCACUAUGAAAUCAAACUUGAGCACUAACAAGAAAAUUUGCAAAACAAAAAUUACUAGACAUCAUUAACUAAAGUACCAGCACAACAAUGAAUGUGUAACCUCCGCAAGAGCAAACCCGAAUGGAGAAGAACAUGAAGAAAUAUAUAAAUAGAAGAAACAUAUGAGUGAUGAUCGGCGAUCAACUCCUCAACCUCUAAUUACAUUUAAAAGAGUGAUGCGAACAUUGUGUGAAAUCCCAAACCUUUGAUGGAUCCCACCAUCACUCUCUUUCUAUCCCCUUCAAAACCUCAUUAUUUUCAAGAGAGGCCUCAAAGCUUCUUCCAAUUAACAUAAAAGAAGAAUGAAAGAGAAGGAGAGAAAGGGAAAGUGGUUCAAAAGCUAUGGAAAAAAAAGUAAAAGAAAAUGGUCUACUCAUUGGCACAUCUUACACAGAUGAUAAUGUUAGGGCAAGGCAAUGAGAGACAGAAUGCUUUUGGAGCCUUCUCCUCUACUUUCGAAGAUUUUAACAAACUAAAAUAUGCAAAUGUUACAAGAAAGAUCUUUGGAGAUUUGAAAUAAUCCAAAAUAAAGAAAAAGGAAAACCCCAAUAUGUACAAAUUUCAGAAUCUAAAACUUGAAAAGUGAUUGAAUGAUGAGAUAUGUUUGUACAAUCAAUUAUAGAGACAGUGAAAUAUUAAAACAAAAAUGAAACGUACCAAGAUAAAAAGAAUAGCAACUAGUAUUAUGACCUUUGUAUGUCUUCAAAAUACAAACAUCAAAAUGAAUCAAGAGAUCUACCACACAAAUAAUGGUAUCAACACAAAUAAAGCAAUUGUUUUAGUAACAAUAUUUGAGUACAAUUAAACUAAGCAUGCUAUUGUCCUUGACAAAUUU
RNAcentral lists this long non-coding RNA (43439 nucleotides) under Cucumis sativus (cucumber). Its description in RNAcentral is "long non-coding RNA (CSAT_LNC001952)". The record is from RNAcentral. Lineage: Eukaryota; Viridiplantae; Streptophyta; Magnoliopsida; Cucurbitales; Cucurbitaceae.